This 586-nucleotide ribosomal RNA is filed under the name Debaryomyces sp. A25M037. Its description in RNAcentral is "eukaryotic LSU rRNA". It matches the Rfam family "Eukaryotic large subunit ribosomal RNA", at positions 54 to 654 of the family's 3401-position model. Lineage: Eukaryota; Fungi; Ascomycota; Pichiomycetes; Serinales; Debaryomycetaceae. The record is from RNAcentral.
GGGAAAAGAAACCAACAGGGAUUGCCUUAGUAACGGCGAGUGAAGCGGCAAAAGCUCAAAUUUGAAAUCUGGCACCUUCGGUGUCCGAGUUGUAAUUUGAAGAAGGUAACUUUGGAGUUGGCUCUUGUCUAUGUUCCUUGGAACAGGACGUCACAGAGGGUGAGAAUCCCGUGCGAUGAGAUGCCCAAUUCUAUGUAAAGUGCUUUCGAAGAGUCGAGUUGUUUGGGAAUGCAGCUCUAAGUGGGUGGUAAAUUCCAUCUAAAGCUAAAUAUUGGCGAGAGACCGAUAGCGAACAAGUACAGUGAUGGAAAGAUGAAAAGAACUUUGAAAAGAGAGUGAAAAAGUACGUGAAAUUGUUGAAAGGGAAGGGCUUGAGAUCAGACUUGGUAUUUUGCGAUCCUUUCCUUCUUGGUUGGGUUCCUCGCAGCUUACUGGGCCAGCAUCGGGUUUGGAUGGUAGGAUAAUGACUAAGGAAUGUGGCUCUACUUCGGUGGAGUGUUAUAGCCUUGGUUGAUACUGCCUGUCUAGACCGAGGACUGCGUCUUUUGACUAGGAUGUUGGCAUAAUGAUCUUAAGCCACCCGUCU